AUUGAACGCUGGCGGCAGGCCUAACACAUGCAAGUCGAGCGGAUGAAGGAAGCUUGCUUCCCGAUUCAGCGGCGGACGGGUGAGUAAUGCCUAGGAAUCUGCCUAUUAGUGGGGGAUAACUCGGGGAAACUCGGGCUAAUACCGCAUACGUCCUACGGGAGAAAGUGGGGGAUCUUCGGACCUCACGCUAAUAGAUGAGCCUAGGUCGGAUUAGCUAGUUGGUGAGGUAACGGCUCACCAAGGCGACGAUCCGAAGCUGGUCUGAGAGGAUGAUCAGCCACACUGGAACUGAGACACGGUCCAGACUCCUACGGGAGGCAGCAGUGGGGAAUAUUGGACAAUGGGCGAAAGCCUGAUCCAGCCAUGCCGCGUGUGUGAAGAAGGUCUUCGGAUUGUAAAGCACUUUAAGUUGGGAGGAAGGUCUGUAAGCUAAUAUCUUGCAGUCUUGACGUUACCAACAGAAUAAGCACCGGCUAACUCUGUGCCAGCAGCCGCGGUAA
RNAcentral lists this ribosomal RNA (500 nucleotides) under uncultured bacterium. RNAcentral describes it as "partial 16S ribosomal RNA". It matches the Rfam family "Bacterial small subunit ribosomal RNA", at positions 30 to 523 of the family's 1533-position model. The record is from RNAcentral.